CGAUGAAUCAUCCUGGGUUUUUUAUUCCUUAGGUAUGCCAUGACAAAGAGGAUAAAACAAUAAAAAUAAAUAAAUUUAUAGGAACAAUGUGACUCAAGUACCAUGGCUUUUGUGCUGGAUCCGCCACCGUCGAGCGCACAAAUGCGGAACUUCGAGGAUUUUCGUCAAUUACGUGUCUCACUCAUGCGGUCGAAUCAGCCCGAGUGCCUUGUUCCUUGGUUAACAUAAACAACACCUCACGCCUGUAGCACUGUACUACUGCCCAUGGCCAUGAAUCUCCAAGAUGGCCGAAUAACAGCCCAGCUUCAAAGUCGGCCAGCAACAACAUCUUCUUUGCAUCAGACACUAUCCAUCUGGAUCGCGGGAACGGAAUGAAUCCCCGAUGAGUAAAGUUCAUUUUAAACCCUGUGCUUGUAGAACUUGUCCAAAUCAAAUCCCCAUUUCUAAAUUCCUGAAGUUGGCACCCUAAACUUAUUAAUCCCGGUCAAAUAUAACCUUUGAUUCGUUUGGCAGUCCGGGAAUCCUGGUCGGUAUUAUUAGCAGCUCUAAUUACACCCACUGGCGUCAUUGUCCCACACAUAUUCCUCUUCUUCACAAACUCAUCCGCAACCACCCUAUGCCGCCAUGAACCUGCCCCAUCUCUUGGCUCAAUCAUGCCAGCGAUGAGGCCAUCCCGCACCCGGCGACGCCUGCUGCUACCAUCAAUUUGGCCGGCGCUGCUGUCAAUUCGUGCCGCCGCCGCAUCGAGGGGCUCCGCCGCGGCCUUCUCUACCUCCCCGACCCCUCCUCUUCUUCAAUUUCUCCGUGCUCCCACCGAAUUAGCCGUCGAUUUGUUCCGUGCGGGCGCGAGGUGGGCGGUGUGCUCGUGCAGGUGCAGGGUGGGCGGCGUGUGCGGGUACGACGUGCGAGGGGGGCGGCGCAGCGGCAGUGAGC
This 933-nucleotide long non-coding RNA is filed under the name Brachypodium distachyon (stiff brome). RNAcentral describes it as "long non-coding RNA (BDIS_LNC002621)". The record is from RNAcentral. Lineage: Eukaryota; Viridiplantae; Streptophyta; Magnoliopsida; Poales; Poaceae.